GAUGAACGCUAGCUACAGGCUUAACACAUGCAAGUCGAGGGGUAACAAGAGAAAAGCUUGCUUUUCUUGUUGACGACCGGCGCACGGGUGAGUAACGCGUAUCCAACCUGCCUAUAACUAGGGAAUAACCUUGCGAAAGUAAGACUAAUACCCUAUGAUUUCCUUUGAUGACAUCAGAUUAGGAAUAAAGAUUUAUCGGUUAUAGAUGGGGAUGCGUAUGAUUAGCUUGUUGGCGGGGUAACGGCCCACCAAGGCAACGAUCAGUAGGGGUUCUUAGAGGAAGGUCCCCCUCAUUGGAACUGAUACACGGUCCAAACUCCUACGGGAAGCAGCAGUGAGGAAUAUUGGUCAAUGGGCGGAAGCCUGAACCAGCCAAGUAGCGUGCAGGAUGACCGCCCUAUGGGUUGUAAACUGCUUUUAUACAGGAAUAAAGUUAGCCACGUGUGGUUAUUUGUAGGUACUGUAUGAAUAAGGACCGGCUAAUUCCGUGCCAGCAGCCGCAGUAA
This 506-nucleotide ribosomal RNA is filed under the name uncultured bacterium. Its description in RNAcentral is "partial 16S ribosomal RNA". It matches the Rfam family "Bacterial small subunit ribosomal RNA", at positions 28 to 523 of the family's 1533-position model. The record is from RNAcentral.